CCUACGGGUGGCAGCAGUGGGGAAUAUUGGGCAAUGGAGGCAACUCUGACACAGCAACGCCGCGUGAAUGAUGAAGGUCUUCGGAUUGUAAAGGUCUGUGAGGGGGGAGGAACACAAUGACGGUACCCCAAUAGCAAGCCACGGCUAACGACGGGCCAGCAGCCGCGGUAAAACGUAGGUGGCAAGCGUUCUCCGGAAUGACUGGGCGUAAAGGGGGCGUAGGGGGUUUAGGAAGUUGGCGGUGUAAUUCCGGGGCUCAACCUCGGCGCUCCCGCCCAAACUAUUAGACUAGUGUGCAGGCGUGGUCACUGGCAUUCCUCGUGUCGCUGUGGUAUGCGUAGUUAUU
This 346-nucleotide ribosomal RNA is filed under the name uncultured bacterium. RNAcentral describes it as "partial 16S ribosomal RNA". It matches the Rfam family "Bacterial small subunit ribosomal RNA", at positions 338 to 698 of the family's 1533-position model. The record is from RNAcentral.